RNAcentral lists this ribosomal RNA (483 nucleotides) under uncultured bacterium. RNAcentral describes it as "partial 16S ribosomal RNA". It matches the Rfam family "Bacterial small subunit ribosomal RNA", at positions 30 to 506 of the family's 1533-position model. The record is from RNAcentral.
AUUGAACGCUGGCGGCAGGCCUAACACAUGCAAGUCGAGCGGAUGAAGGGAGCUUGCUCCUGGAUUCAGCGGCGGACGGGUGAGUAAUGCCUAGGAAUCUGCCUGGUAGUGGGGGAUAACGUCCGGAAACGGGCGCUAAUACCCCAUACGUCCUGAGGGAGACAGUGGGGGAUCUUCGGACCUCACGCUAUCAGAUGAGCCUAGGUCGGAUUAGCUAGUUGGUGGGGUAAAGGCCUACCAAGGCGACGAUCCGUAACUGGUCUGAGAGGAUGAUCAGUCACACUGGAACUGAGACACGGUCCAGACUCCUACGGGAGGCAGCAGUGGGGAAUAUUGGACAAUGGGCGAAAGCCUGAUCCAGCCAUGCCGCGUGUGUGAAGAAGGUCUUCGGAUUGUAAAGCACUUUAAGUUGGGAGGAAGGGCAGUAAGUUAAUACCUUGCUGUUUUGACGUUACCAACAGAAUAAGCACCGGCUAACUUCGU